Molecule: long non-coding RNA, 1037 nt
Organism: Apus apus (common swift)
Lineage: Eukaryota; Metazoa; Chordata; Aves; Apodiformes; Apodidae
Exons: 3
Source: RefSeq, a predicted model, not a curated record
ACCUCAAGGUUUUUAUCUGGAUCUUUGUCAUCUCAGAACAACAAGGAUUCUGGGCACAUCCUAUGGCUGGAUGAAGGUAGACUCACAAUUCAGCAGCAACCUGGAAAGAGGAAGAUGACGAGACUCAGCACUUCAGAAGAUGGGAAAAAAACCCCUAUGCUAUGAGCAAUCUAGCCAAAUAUAUAUGGAUAUAACUGUGUAACUUAGGACAGUGAAGCUACCCAUUCACUGAAGGUCAUAUAAGGAGAAGGCUAUGGAGUGCUCACCAGGGAUGGGAGUCUAGAGACACAGGUGAGAUAAAGAUUUCUGGAGAAAUCUGGGUUCUGAGAAGCCUCAGACUUUAAAGGAUGACACAGGACUUGGUCUAAUGCCUCUUAAUGGAAUGUCCUGACUGGUUUACUGCAAUCUUUGUCACCUGGGAAGCAGAACUUUUCAUCCUCUAAUAGAACUUUUAAAGAAGUUGAAUGAAAGAAUUGGUAAUCUCAUCAAAAGGACCCUUUGAAGUGUUAUCUUCCUGCUUUUUUUUUCUUUUGAACUUCAAGAUCUUGAAAGAUUCGGUCCUUGCUGGAACUAAUACUUAAUUCUUAACUAAAUUGACCUGAAGCAAUUCCUUGAUCAUGAUCAAAAGUGGUGACAAUCCUGCUCCUGAUGCAUUGUUAAAUCUAUACCUGAAAGAAUGUAUAAUGUUAGGAAAUGAAGUCUCAUCUGUCUUGUUGGAAAUUAUUCUUCAGCUUUGGUUGUCCUUCUGGCAUAUUGUCAUUGACACCAGAAGUUCCUUCUGAGCAGCACUAUAGUCCAAGGAAUAAGACAGCUUUAGACUCCAAGGAGUUAAGAGUCCUGAGUGACCAGCUCACCAACUUAAGCAAGUGAAAAAAUUGAUGCCCCUCCAAAGGCCAGGGCUCUUCAAACUGCAGUCUGGACUCUGGCAGUGACUGUAUCCAGACCUGAAUUGCAGAUGAUCUGGUUGAGUACUGGAGAUGCUACUACACUGACAGGUAGUUGAAGACAGAUCAGGGAGAAGUUUUCCCCUUUGAUUU